AUGCUCAAGAAGGCGAUGGUGAGCACACCCGUGCUCGCCCUUCUGGACUGCGCGCGCCCAUUCACGAUCGAGACUAAUGCCUGCGACACGGGCGUGGGCGCGGUGCUCAUGCAAGACGGCCACCCCGUGGCAUACCUCGGCAAAGCCUUGGGCGUGCGCAAUCAGAAGUUGUCGACCUACGAAAAGGAAUUCUUGGCGGUGAUGAUGGCUGUCGACAAGUGGAGACCUUAUCUUCAGCGGGCGCCGUUCGAGAUCGUCACCGACCACAAGAGUCUCUGCGCCCUCAGCGACCAGCAAUUGGCGACGGAGCUGCAGCGCAAGGCCAUGGCGAAGCUGGUCGGCCUCCAGUUCACCUUCCGCUACAAGCGCGGCACCGACAACGGUGCAGCGGACACGCUCUCGCGUGCCGGCCACUUGAUGGCUCUCGGCGCGCUCUCCUUGUGUCAACCACAGUGGCUCCAGGAAGUCGCCAACUCUUACGCGACGGACCCGGACGCCCAGGAGCUGCUCGCCAAGCUCGCCGUCAUCGACACUGACGACCAGGGGCGCACCCUGCAGCAAGGCGUCAUCAGGCAGCGUGGGCGCCUCUGGAUUGGAGCAAACUCGGCCCUGCAGACGAAGCUCAUCUCGGCGCUGCACCACAGCGCUGUCGGCGGCCACUCCGGUGCCACGGCGACCUACCAUCGCGUCCGCAAGCUGUUCGCUUGGACCGGCCUGAAGCGUGCGAUCGAAGAUUUCGUCAAGCAGUGCGCCGUGUGCCAACACUCCAAGCACGAGCACACGCACCCGGCAGGCAAGCUUCAGCCGCUGCCCAUUCCUCAAGCUCCGUGGCAGGAAUUGACCAUGGAUUUCGUCGAAGGACUUCCCAAAUCAGAGGGCUACGAUGCAAUCAUGGUCGUCGUCGACCGGCUCACCAAGUACGCACAUUUCGUGCCGCUCCGCCAUCCCUUCACGGCAGCUCAGGUCGCCCGCGCGUUCUGGGAACACAUCAUCAAGCUUCACGGCGUGCCUCACUCCAUCGUGUCUGAUCGUGACAAGAUCUUCACCAGCACAAUGUGGCGCGAGCUCCUCGCCACCGCCGGGACCAAGCUCCUGUACUCCACGGCUUACCAUCCGCAAACAGACGGCCAAACAGAGCGCGUCAACCAGUGCCUGGAGAUGUACCUCCGGUGCGCCGUGCACGAGACGCCCAAGCAAUGGCGCAAGUGGCUACCUACAGCAGAAUUCUGGUACAACUCGACCCAUCACUCCUCUCUGAACUGCUCCCCGUUCAAAGCUUUAUAUGGGCGAGAGCCAAAUCUUGGAGGGCUACCACACCUGGAUUCGGAGCUGCCAGCGAAUGCCCAGGGCGAGGAUCUGGACUGGGCCUCUCACACUGAGCUGCUCCGAUCGCAGCUAGCUCGCGCCCAAGAUCGUUUCAAGAAGCAGGCAGAUCGUCACCACGCUGAACGCGCGUUUGAUGUGGGAGAACAGGUUUUGCUCAAGCUUCAACCAUAUGCCCAAACUUCAGUCGCCAAUCGCCCCUGCCGCAAGCUGGCCUAUAAGUUCUUCGGACCCUUCCUCCUCACCGAGCGCGUGGGCACGCUCGCGUACAGGCUCAAGCUUCCGCCAGACAGCCGCAUUCACCCAGUGUUUCAUGUUUCCCAGUUGAAGCCUUUCGUUCCUGAUUAUACACCGGUCUUUGCGGAGCUUCCUAAGGUACCAGAUCUUGCAGCCAACGAGAUCCAACCAGCAGCAAUCUUGGACCGUCGCAUGAUGAAGAAAGGAGACGCGCCGGUCAUCCAGCUGCAGAUUCAGUGGGCGAACAUGCCAUCCACAGCAACAACUUGGGAGGAUUACUCGGUGCUUCGUCAAAAACUGCAAGCAUCUGGGAGGAGGAAUCCGCUCGAGAGGGGGACAAUGUCGCGCCUGCAUAUGACAGUAGUCAACAUAUGCAGCGGACGGAACAAGUGCAGGUUCAGAGUUGCACUUGAUCUGAACCUGCAAACACCCUGCGUGGCGAGCUGGGCCGUGGGCCUUGUAGCGUGCGUGUGUUGA
This 2037-nucleotide ribosomal RNA is filed under the name Triticum aestivum (bread wheat). RNAcentral describes it as "partial small subunit ribosomal RNA". Lineage: Eukaryota; Viridiplantae; Streptophyta; Magnoliopsida; Poales; Poaceae. The record is from RNAcentral.